This 477-nucleotide ribosomal RNA is filed under the name uncultured bacterium. RNAcentral describes it as "partial 16S ribosomal RNA". It matches the Rfam family "Bacterial small subunit ribosomal RNA", at positions 28 to 507 of the family's 1533-position model. The record is from RNAcentral.
GAUGAACGCUAGCUACAGGCUUAACACAUGCAAGUCGAGGGGAAACGGCAUCGAAAGCUUGCUUUUGAUGGGCGUCGACCGGCGCACGGGUGAGUAACGCGUAUCCAACCUGCCCAUCACUUGGGAAUAACCUUGCGAAAGUAAGACUAAUGCCCAAUGACAUCCCACGAAGGCAUCCGAAUGGGAUUAAAGAUUUAGCGGUGAUGGAUGGGCAUGCGUCUGAUUAGCUUGUUGGCGGGGUGACGGCCCACCAAGGCAACGAUGGGUAGGGGUCCUGAGAGGGUAACCGGACCAAGUGGGAAUGAGAUACGGCCGAGACUACUAGGGGAGGCAGCAGAGGGGAAUAGUGCAUAAUGGGCGGAAGCCGGGUGCAGCAACGCGGCCUGCGGGAUGAUGGCCUUCGUGUUGUAAACAGAUUUGGCCUGUGACGAAGAGUGAGUGACGGUAAUUUGUAAAGAAGCACCGGCUAACUACGUG